Molecule: small RNA, 117 nt
Filed under: Pantoea eucrina
Lineage: Bacteria; Pseudomonadati; Pseudomonadota; Gammaproteobacteria; Enterobacterales; Erwiniaceae
Description: Fumarate/nitrate reductase regulator sRNA
Rfam family: Fumarate/nitrate reductase regulator sRNA
Source: RNAcentral
GCAGGUGAAUGCAACGUCAGGCGAUGGGCGUUGUACUCCAUAUUGUCUUACUUCCUGUUUGCGAAUUACUGCAUAGCACAGUUAAUUCCUCUGACACCGGCCCCAGGGCCGGUUUUU